GAUGAACGCUAGCUACAGGCUUAACACAUGCAAGUCGAGGGGAAACGAUGAGAGAGCUUGCUCUCUUAGUCGUCGACCGGCGCACGGGUGAGUAACGCGUAUCCAACCUACCUCUGACCAAGGGAUAACCCGUCGCAAGUCGGACUAAUACCUUAUGCAGUCGUCGGAAGGCAUCUGAUGACGACGAAAGAUUUCAUCGAUGAAUGGUGGGACUGCGUCUGAUUAGCUUGUUGGCGGAGUAACGGCCCACCAAGGCGACGAUCACUAGGGGUUCUGGGGGGCAGCCCCACUAGAACGGAACCGCGACCCGGUCCAAACUGCUACGGGACGCAGCGGUAAGGAAUAUUGGUGGCUGGGCGUAAGCGUGAACCAGCCAAGUAGCGUGCAGGAGUACUGCGCUAGGGGUUGUAUACUGCUUUUAUGGAGGGAUAGAGUGAGUGACGGGUCACUCAUUGCAGGUACCGAAUGAAUAAGGACCGGCUAACUCCGUG
This 491-nucleotide ribosomal RNA is filed under the name uncultured bacterium. RNAcentral's name for it is "partial 16S ribosomal RNA". It matches the Rfam family "Bacterial small subunit ribosomal RNA", at positions 28 to 507 of the family's 1533-position model. The record is from RNAcentral.